Molecule: long non-coding RNA, 3601 nt
Organism: Haplochromis burtoni (Burton's mouthbrooder)
Lineage: Eukaryota; Metazoa; Chordata; Actinopteri; Cichliformes; Cichlidae
Exons: 3
Source: RefSeq, a predicted model, not a curated record
UUCCAGGUGGUUGGCUGAGCGAGCGGUUGACCGGGUGUACUUAAUAAAGUGUGUGAUUAGUGUUUGCACUAUCAUCCCACACACUUUCUGCUUCCUAAGAGUGGUGUUGCCGGGGAUUGGAAACAACACAAGUGAGAGUAAUCAGGAUAAUCAGACAGACAGGAAGUAAAACCCAAAAGAAGACACUAUCAAAGUGACAACCAAGACGUAUACUCAGAAACUCAGACUAAUCAUGGCGAUGACAGCAAAGAGGGAGAUGGCUACUUCUCUCGACGUCAAUAUCGAGGACCGAGAGACGAGAGCUGCCGAGAGACAGACCUCCAUAAAGAAAAGACAGACGCAUCAUCUGACCAGCCAGGGGGCAGACAGACAGACAGACACAGAGAAACACAGACAAGGGCCUCCUUAUUCCACUAACAUACUGUCAUGGUGCAGAGCAGAGGAACACGACAUGGAAAAUGUCACUCCAUCUUUAGUAUUUAAAAAAAACCAAAAAAAAACAGGGACUCGGAGAAACUUUCCCCUCCAAACAUUUUCUGCUGUCACGAACAUGCUCGCUGCUUCAUUUUUACUCCUCUACUGGGUGUGCUUGGCAGUGUUUUCUUAUGCAUGCAGAUGGGCCGGUGUCAAAAGGCCUCUCCCUUUACAGUUCUGUUGUUGAGAGUGCGUGCUGAUCACUCUGGGUGUGGCUCUGCUACCAUUUGCCCCCUCAGGCCUGUUUUCCAUUUUCAAAACAAGCUAGAUUUCCUCAGAUAGAAAACACUUGGCUCUGAAACAACAAAUAAGGACGCGAACGGAGCUCCAUGUUGGCAAAUGGAACAAAAAAAAUGCAAAAAGUAGGCGAAGGAAGAGCCUUUGUGUCUGAAAUGGGUCGCAAACUUUACCUCAUCGGCAGCGCGGGGUCAUUAACACCUCUAAUGCAGUGAUAGUGACUCUGGUGAUUAAUUAGUCCCAAUCACUCCACCUAUUCACCCAUAUGUAGCGUCAGCUCUCCUGCUGGGCUUUUGUUGCCAUUGCUUUUCACAUGCAGUCGCGGUCUGCAUCCCCCGACGAGGCCACCCUCGACACUGCCUGUUUCAUCAACAAACUGCAGCCCAGGUCUAAACGCUCGUCACAGCUCACAGACUGAAAUUCUGUGGAAGAAAUACUCUUUCACAGACAUUUGUUCUCAAAGUCUGUUUUACCUUCUUGUGCUUUUCAGCUGCUUUCUGCAACAAAUGACUGAACUGUCCUUGAAUUUCUUGCUUGGAGCUUUGCAGAUACCCACCGACAGAUUUGCAUGUAGCAUUUGGUAGACGGAUACAUUUUCCACGUUUAUUUCCUUAGCCUUGAUAAGAGGAGUAACCCCAGCAUAGUAAUUGUUUGUUUGAAGCUUGUUAAGGGCUUUGAAAUAUAAUUAUUCAUAGUUUAACAGUUUUCAGCAGUGUACGAGAGCAACUCCUGAAUAAAUUUCCAUCAUUUCCAUUUACAAAAUGUAUUAUCUUUCUAAUUAGACUCAUUCAUUAGGACCCAUCCAUCCAUGCUUUUGCUUUAGGUUUUCGGGUUUGUUUGCAAAGGUAGGCAGAGUUGUUUGCUCGUGUGCAAUCUUCCAACAGCACGUCCCCCAAACAGGGAUGAUGCUGUGUGUAGACUGAAUCCCAAAAUAUUGCUUCUUUUCACCUGGAUGUAGCAUUUUCAUUGGUGGAAGCUUCACCUUCACCCAACCCAGUACACUGUCUGUCCAUCUCCAUACCUUUGCACUAAUCUGAUGGUACUCUAUAUAUAAUGAUUCUAUCUCUUAAAUAGAUAUAAGCAGUUUUCACUAUUUUCUGGUCUCUGUUGAGAAAAUAAAGUUCUCUUUUUUCACAUGUACCACCUUAGAAAAUUUCUCACCACUGGAAAUACUCCACUUGGUUAAGGCGAGGGCAGGAUACACCAUGUCAGGUCGCUUACUGUGAAUUCACCAAACCAUUUCCUGCACUGGGGAGCUAGCAGGUUAAAGGAUUUGUUGGAAAUGUUUAUCGGUUUCAAAGCUGCAGCUCAUGUGUGAAAAGGCUUUGAUGAAGAUUAGAAUCUGCUAAGUCACAGUGAGUGAUGCCCACAGUGAGUAUUUAAAUUUUUCAGCACCUCUCAUUCUCGAAGGUUCAAAGUGUGUAGCACACUAAAGAGCGAACACAAACUACAGAUUUUUAACGAAGGAACGAAGGUUUGGUGGGAGGAUGUAUUUUGAUUCAUAUGGCAUGUUUCUUGCCGUGCAGUGGCCUCUCCCCACCUACACAGCUAAAUGCAUUCUGUGGUUUCUCAGGACUAAAAGCUCACUGGCAAAAUGAGAAAUAGUUGUUUUUGCAUUAUAUUAUAAUUCACUUUUCCUUCCAGUAAGCAGGGCAGUUUCUUGUAAAUCAAGACACACUGUUAGCUCUGCACAGGGAUCUCAAAGCAAAAUCUAACUGAAUAUUUGCUCCUCAUUCAAAGGAACCCACGUGGAUUCCUUGUUUUUGUGCCGCGCAAACCAGAUGCAACAAGACUGUUCACGCUUCACCUUGUUUGUCUUGAUGCGUCCUUGGGUUGAACAAAAGUUCAGCAGCAGCAGAGGAGACGCAUUAAGCUAAGGGGCAAACUGAGGCGGAAACACUGUGUCAUUAUUAGGCCUUUCAUCACAGCCGGCAUUAGUAGAAAGAGCGCAGGUGUUAUAAAACCCCCUCAGGAUGUCGUGACAGCGAGUUGGACCUCAAAUCAGUCAGCAAACAUAAAUGUUAUUAUUUACACCAGCUGUGACGUGUGAAAGCCUCACCUUAUAAGGUGUUAAUGUUUGCUUGUGUUUAACAUGAUUAUUCUCAGAGACAUUAUUAGAGAAACACACACGGCACUAAAAGAAAGCAAGUGUGGUGUUAGAAGUACAACAGUGGAAAAACAGCCUUUUAACACAUUCAUUCAGUGGAAAAAACUGAAAAUCUUUAAAGCGUUAUUUAAAUAAAAUGAAUAUCCGCACAUUAAAAACUCUCCGACUCUUAUUCUCCAAAAUACGACUUUAAAAAAAUUCUUGUUUCUCACUGAAAUUGAAACGUCUACGAUCUUUGUCUAAAUCUUAAUUCAGGAUUCUUUGAGUAUCAGGUCUCCCUGUUUAACUGAGAAUAACUCGCUAUCUUGGCUCAACUCCAGUGAUAAGGAAUAUUAUAUAAAAACAGAUAUACGCUCACCGGCCACUUCAACAGAUACAAGGUUAAACUCCUUUUUGCCAUAGAUUCAAAUAAGGUGCUACAAACUUUCUUUAGGGAUUUCAUUGCCAGGCGACAUGUUAGCGUCGCACAGUCGGUGCAGAUAUGUUGGCUGCACAUCAACGAUUUUACUCGAGUUCCACCACAUCACAAAGGUGGGCUACUGGAUUGAGAUCUGGUGAUUGCGGAAGCCGUGUGAGUGAAGUGAAGUCAGUGUUGAGAUUAUUUGAGCCUCGUGACAUGAAGUGGCUACAUGGUCAUUGUCAGCAACAAUACUCAGGGAGGCUUUGACAUUUAAACAAUAAUCACUUGGUACUAAGUGUGCCAAGAAACUCUCCACCACACCAUUACAGCCCCACGCUGAACCAUUGAUACAAGGCAGGAUGGAUCCGUGUUGUUUACACUAA